GUGGAUUAGAUACCCGGGUAGUCCACGCUGUAAACGAUGACGACUAGGUGUGGGGUGGUUCAGUCCAUUCCGUGCCGCAGCUAACGCAUUAAGUCGUCCGCCUGGGGAGUACGGCAGCAAGGUUGAAACUCAAAGGAAUUGACGGGGGCCCGCACAAGCGGUGGAGCAUGUGGUUCAAUUCGAUGCAGAGCGAAGAACCGUACCUGGGCUUGACAUGUAGGAAGUAGAACCCCGAAAGGGGGACGACCUGUUGAGUCAGGAGCCUAC
This 267-nucleotide ribosomal RNA is filed under the name uncultured bacterium. RNAcentral's name for it is "partial 16S ribosomal RNA". It matches the Rfam family "Bacterial small subunit ribosomal RNA", at positions 773 to 1032 of the family's 1533-position model. The record is from RNAcentral.